GAUGAAGAGGGGAGUUCUGAUGACAAUUUUUUUUCUGGAGUAGAUAUCAGGUAAAGAGGGCAGUAUUAUCGGGAUCGGAGAGGAGGAAAAGAAUCCUAUAGGUAAAAUGGACAUAGUGGGUGUAGACUGGAAAAAGCUGGUUCAGUCUUCACAACCUAAACCGGCCAGUACUGGUUCAGCUCUCCAGCGCUUCAGGGCACCCGCUAUCUUUGCCUCACUUGGUUUUUCUAAGGAGUUUGCUGGAGAGAAGCUGUUCCAAAAAAUCCAAAGUUCUUGUCAACAGGAGCUUGAGACUCAAAGAG
This is a long non-coding RNA of Magallana angulata, 302 nucleotides long. RefSeq lists it as uncharacterized. The transcript has 2 exons. The record is from RefSeq and is a predicted model, not a curated record. Lineage: Eukaryota; Metazoa; Mollusca; Bivalvia; Ostreida; Ostreidae.